Molecule: ribosomal RNA, 600 nt
Filed under: Triticum aestivum (bread wheat)
Lineage: Eukaryota; Viridiplantae; Streptophyta; Magnoliopsida; Poales; Poaceae
Description: partial small subunit ribosomal RNA
Source: RNAcentral
AUGAAUGCUGAUGGCUCUUACUGGAAACCUAAGCAGUACCCCAAAACCACAUGGGUUGCUGCAAAGGAAUCUUCAGCAGAUCCAUCCACUCUAUCUGGCUUCAUUUGUGCAAACCCCAUUGUCAUUGAUGAAUCCUUUGAUGCAAACUAUAAACUGUUUAAGAAUCAGAAUGGUGAAGUGUUUGCCAGGUACAUUGGUACUAACUGCAGAAACGGACCACAUAUGAAGAAGAUCUGGAUUCCGAAAAAGUGUCUGGAGAAUCUUCCUGUGAAUGUCAUCAUGACACCACACGUAAAGAAGACAAACCUUAGACCACAGGCUUCAUACGGUCCAAAGGCUUCAUACAGACAGAGGACUCAUCUGAGUCACACUAACGCAAAUGUUUUACAGGGAAACCAUACUCAGGCCUAUGAAUAUGAGCGCGGUUCAUCAAACCGCCAUGUUCAUAAGACCAAGAACUAUUCUGCUUAUUCUUAUGAGUACUAUUGUCCGCCUGCAAGACUUUUUGCUAGGGCUCCAAAGCCAAAGUUCUCAGACGCUGCACUUAGACUUAUUGCUUCUAAGCCACCCUUGAAGAUGUGGGUGGCUAAGAAAGCUUAA